GUUGAAAGAAUUCCAAGAAUUUAGUAUUCAAGUCAAUGAUGCAUUACAUUAAUUCGAUUCAUUCAACCCUUUGUAUUGAAUAUUUAAAAAAUUUCUUUAAAAAUCAAAAAAAUAUUUCAUUUUUUUAUUUUUCAUUUUUAGCGUAUUGAAUAUUAAAGAUUAUAAUGAUUUUAAUGAUAAAGUAAAAGCGGGUAGCGGGAAUCGAACCCGCAUCGUU
This 217-nucleotide long non-coding RNA is filed under the name Fragaria vesca (wild strawberry). Its description in RNAcentral is "long non-coding RNA (FVES_LNC004362)". Lineage: Eukaryota; Viridiplantae; Streptophyta; Magnoliopsida; Rosales; Rosaceae. The record is from RNAcentral.